This 380-nucleotide ribosomal RNA is filed under the name uncultured archaeon. RNAcentral describes it as "bacterial SSU rRNA". It matches the Rfam family "Archaeal small subunit ribosomal RNA", at positions 347 to 727 of the family's 1478-position model. The record is from RNAcentral.
ACUUUACAAUGCUGGCAACAGCGAUAAGGGAACCUCGAGUGCCAGGUUACAAAUCUGGCUGUCGAGAUGCCUAAAAAGCAUUUCAUAGCAAGGGCCGGGCAAGACCGGUGCCAGCCGCCGCGGUAACACCGGUGGCUCGAGUGGUAACCGUUAUUAUUGGGUCUAAAGGGUCUGUAGCCGGCCGGAUAAGUCUCUUGGGAAAUCUGGCAGCUCAACUGUCAGGCUUUCAGGGGAUACUGUCUGGCUCGAGGCCGGGAGAGGUGAGAGGUACUUCAGGGGUAGGGGUGAAAUCUUGUAAUCCUUGAAGGACCACCAGUGGCGAAGGCGUCUCACCAGAACGGACCUGACGGCAAGGGACGAAAGCUAGGGGCACGAACCGG